GAGCCUCUUCAUUGCCUACUGCAAAACAACUUUUUGCACCAGUUCGUCACUGAUGGCUUAUCAACGCGGCGGCAUCCUCAUCAUGGCACAGGUUCAUCAGAGUCAGGUGGUCAGCACCCAAACUAAAACCAUGGGUCAUGGUGAAGAAGGAUGAGAGACUGUUCUAUGUGCCCAGGGUUCGUCAGGAUGGUGUCUAAGAAUUACAUCCUAGCAGCACAGAACAGGAAGCCAUCGUGAAGAAGUUGCCGGAGAGGCUUCGCUUGGCCUUUGCCAGCGCCUCACUAUCAGUGAUGCUGGUCUCCUUAUCCACCGUGCCUACCCCCACAUUCCUCCCUUGAUGCAUUCAUCUCCUGACCUGUACCUGUUGUGGGCUGAGUCAGUGAUGAC
This is a long non-coding RNA of Engraulis encrasicolus (European anchovy), 387 nucleotides long. RefSeq lists it as uncharacterized. The transcript has 3 exons. Lineage: Eukaryota; Metazoa; Chordata; Actinopteri; Clupeiformes; Engraulidae. The record is from RefSeq and is a predicted model, not a curated record.